Phacochoerus africanus (Common warthog) is the source of this 106-nucleotide small nuclear RNA. The record is from RefSeq and is a predicted model, not a curated record. Lineage: Eukaryota; Metazoa; Chordata; Mammalia; Artiodactyla; Suidae.
CCAUGUCUGGGGUAUGGCUCUAAAAAAGGCAAAAAAAAAAAAGCAGAGAUUAGCAUGACCCAUGCAUAAGGAUGACAGGCAAAUUCAUGAAGUAUUUCAUAUAUUU